This 67-nucleotide transfer RNA is filed under the name Lactobacillus amylolyticus. It matches the Rfam family "tRNA". Rfam says of the family: Transfer RNA (tRNA) molecules are approximately 80 nucleotides in length. Their secondary structure includes four short double-helical elements and three loops (D, anti-codon, and T loops). Lineage: Bacteria; Bacillati; Bacillota; Bacilli; Lactobacillales; Lactobacillaceae. The record is from RNAcentral.
GGAUAUCGUAUAAUGGUAGUACAGCGGUCUCCAAAACCGCUGAUGUGGGUUCAAUUCCUACUAUCCC